UGCAUGUUCUAGAUCCAGAAGCAGGUUGAGG
Molecule: non-coding RNA, 31 nt
Filed under: Rattus norvegicus (Norway rat)
Lineage: Eukaryota; Metazoa; Chordata; Mammalia; Rodentia; Muridae
Source: RNAcentral